CCUUGCCCAUUUGAGGGGGAUACCAGUUGGAAACGACUGUUAAUACCGCAUAAUAUCUGUGGAUUAAAGGUGGCUUUCGGGCUGUCGCAGAUGGAUGAGCCUGCGUUGGAUUAGCUAGUUGGUGGGGUAAGGGCCCACCAAGGCUACGAUCCAUAGCUGAUUUGAGAGGAUGAUCAGCCACAUUGGGACUGAGACACGGCCCAAACUCCUACGGGAGGCAGCAGUGGGGAAUAUUGGACAAUGGGGGCAACCCUGAUCCAGCAAUGCCAUGUGUGUGAAGAAGGCCCUAGGGUUGUAAAGCACUUUAGUUGGGGAGGAAAGCCUCAAGGUUAAUAGCCUUGGGGAGGACGUUACCCAAAGAAUAAGCACCGGCUAACUCCGUGCCAGCAGCCGCGGUAAUACGGGGGGUGCAAGCGUUAAUCGGAAUUACUGGGCGUAAAGGGUCUGUAGGUGGUUUGUUAAGUCAGAUGUGAAAGCCCAGGGCUCAACCUUGGAACUGCAUUUGAUACUGGCAAACUAGAGUACGGUAGAGGAAUGGGGAAUUUCUGGUGUAGCGGUGAAAUGCGUAGAGAUCAGAAGGAACACCAAUGGCGAAGGCAACAUUCUGGACCGAUACUGACACUGAGGGACGAAAGCGUGGGGAUCAAACAGGAUUAGAUACCCUGGUAGUCCACGCUAUAAACGAUGAGUACUAGCUGUUGGAGUCGGUGUAAAGGCUCUAGUGGCGCAGCUAACGCGAUAAGUACUCCGCCUGGGGACUACGGCCGCAAGGCUAAAACUCAAAGGAAUUGACGGGGACCCGCACAAGCGGUGGAGCAUGUGGUUUAAUUCGAUGCAACGCGAAGAACCUUACCUGGUCUUGACAUCCUGCGAACUUUCUAGAGAUAGAUUGGUGCCUUCGGGAACGCAGUGACAGGUGCUGCACGGCUGUCGUCAGCUCGUGUUGUGAAAUGUUGGGUUAAGUCCCGCAACGAGCGCAACCCCUAUUGAUAGUUACCAUCAUUAAGUUGGGUACUCUAUUGAGACUGCCGCUGACAAGGCGGAGGAAGGUGGGGACGACGUCAAGUCAUCAUGGCCCUUACGACCAGGGCUACACACGUGCUACAAUGGGUAUUACAGAGGGCUGCGAAGGUGCGAGCUGGAGCGA
This 1147-nucleotide ribosomal RNA is filed under the name uncultured Francisella sp. RNAcentral's name for it is "bacterial SSU rRNA". It matches the Rfam family "Bacterial small subunit ribosomal RNA", at positions 124 to 1270 of the family's 1533-position model. The record is from RNAcentral. Lineage: Bacteria; Pseudomonadati; Pseudomonadota; Gammaproteobacteria; Thiotrichales; Francisellaceae.